AGAGUUUGAUUAUGGCUCAGAUUGAAGAACGCUGGCGGCAGGCCUAACACAUGCAAGUCGAGCGAGAAAGCAUUUCGGUGUGAGUAGAGCGGCGGACGGGUGAGUAACGCGUAGGAAUUUGCCCAGUAGUGGGGGACAACAUGUGGAAACCUUCUCUAAUACCGCAUACGCCCUAAGGGGGAAAGCAGGGGAUCUUCGGACCUUGCGCUAUUGGAGAAGCCUGCGUCGGAUUAGCUAGUUGGUGGGGUAAAGGCCCACCAAGGCGACGAUCCGUAGCUGGUCUGAGAGUAUGAUCAGCCACACUGGAACUGAGACACGGUCCAGACUCCUACGGGAGGCAGCAGUGGGGAAUAUUGGACAAUGGGCGAAAGCCUGAUCCAGCCAUGCCGCGUGUGUGAAGAAGGCCUUAGGGUUGUAAAGCACUUUCAGUAGGGAGGAAAAGUUAGUCGUUAAUAGCCGCCAGCCCUGACGUUACCUACAGAAGAAGCACCGGCAAACUCCGUGCCAGCAGCCGCGGUAAUAUGGAGGGUGCAAGCGUUAAUCGGAAUUACUGGGCGUAAAGCGCGCGUAGGUGGUUUGAUAAGUUGGAUGUGAAAGCCCCGGGCUCAACCUGGGAACUGCAUCUGAUACUGGAUAGCUAGAGUACAGAAGAGGGUGGUAGAAUUUCAGGUGUAGCGGUGAAAUGCGUAGAGAUCUGAAGGAAUACCAGUGGCGAAGGCGGCCCCCUGGAUUGAUACUGACACUGAGGUGCGAAAGCGUGGGGAGCAAACAGGAUUAGAUACCCUGGUAGUCCACGCCGUAAAAGAUGUCUACUAGCCGUUGGGGAGCUUUGCCUCCUUAGUGGCGCAGCUAACGCAAUAAGUAGACCGCCUGGGGAGUACGGUCGCAAGAUUAAAACUCAAAUAAAUUGACGGGGGCCCGCACAAGCGGUGGAGCAUGUGGUUUAAUUCGAUGCAACGCGAAGAACCUUACCAGGUCUUGACAUCCUGCGAACUUACUAGAGAUAGUUUGGUGCCUUCGGGAGCGCAGUGACAGGUGCUGCAUGGCUGUCGUCAGCUCGUGUUGUGAAAUGUUGGGUUAAGUCCCGUAACGAGCGCAACCCCUAUCCUUAGUUACCAGCGGUUCGGCCGGGAACUCUAGGGAGACUGCCGGUGACAAAACCGGGGCAGGUGGGGACGACGUCAAGUCAUCAUGGCCCUUACGACCUGGGCUACACACGUGCUACAAUGGGAGGUACAGAGGGACGCGAAGCCGCGAGGUGUAUCUAAUCCCAGAAAACCUUUCGUAGUCCGGAUUGGAGUCUGCAACUCGACUCCAUGAAGUCGGAAUCGCUAGUAAUCGCGGAUCAGAAUGCCGCGGUGAAUACGUUCCCGGGCCUUGUACACACCGCCCGUCACACCAUGGGAGUGGAUUGCACCAGAAGUAGUUAGUCUAACCUUCGGGAGGACGAUUACCACGGUGUGGUUCAUGACUGGGGUGAAGUCGUAACAAGGUAGCC
RNAcentral lists this ribosomal RNA (1498 nucleotides) under uncultured prokaryote. Its description in RNAcentral is "partial 16S ribosomal RNA". It matches the Rfam family "Bacterial small subunit ribosomal RNA". The record is from RNAcentral.